CCUGCCCCGGGCCCGGAGCCAGCUAUGGGCUUGGAGAGCGCUCUCUGUGAGCCUCUCUCCACUUGCAAAACGGACAUUGCAGCUCCUGGCAGAGAGACGCGUGGAAACCGAUGAACUAGUGUCCAUAGAAGCAGCUGCCAUGCAGAUCCCUGGAGCCUUUCCCAGACCCUUCCCGCUGGAACCUCCGCAGGCUAUGGAGGAGGCACUCGCUUGGCUGGUCUUCCAGGAUACCACCCCCACAGCUGCCACCUCCCUAAUGCAGGUCAGGACACGACCUGCCCCAAAGUCACACGUGCACUGACGUCGGCCACGAAGGGCACCGCUGAGACCAGGUCAUGAGUAACAGGCUCCGAGCAGUCCAAAGAGAACCAAGCAGUGGAGAGGUGCUCAGGGCUGCUCCGCACCCUCGGCUCCAGGGUCCUGCCACGCACACAUAGAGGCCCACCCGGCGGAUGGAAUAAGCUCACAUGCAACCCAGUGACAAGACAGAUAGACCCAGAGCACAGGAAAUAAAGGCAGGAGAAAGGUGGGAGCGGGAAGAGCUGCAGGGGGUAGGGGAGGUGACCCUCUGCACCCUGCAGGGAAGGAUCCAGCCCAUGAACACAGAGAGCUCCCAGGCUCAUGCCACAACCCAGGAGGCUGACCAUGACCUUGGACUGCAGACAGCAGGGAUGCUUCUCGCGCUCUGUGUGAGGAGACAGGGACUUGAAUACUCAGAUGUGGCCUGAUUUAGUGAAUAUGAUAAUAAAAUGGGUGGUGUGUGCAAUCAAGG
RNAcentral lists this long non-coding RNA (772 nucleotides) under Marmota monax (woodchuck). The record is from RNAcentral. Lineage: Eukaryota; Metazoa; Chordata; Mammalia; Rodentia; Sciuridae.